AUACGGAGGGUGCAAACGUUGUUCGGAAUUACUGGGCGUAAAGCGCGCGUAGGCGGUUUGUUAAGUCAGAUGUAAAAGUCCACAGCUCAACUGUGGAAGUGCAUUUGAAACUGGCAGACUUGAAUACUGGAGGGGGUGGUGGAAUUCCCGGUGUAGAGGUGAAAUUCGUAGAUAUCGGGAGGAAUACCGGUGGCGAAGGCGACCACCUGGCCAGAUACUGACGCUGAGGUGCGAAAGCGUGGGGAGCAAACAGGAUUAGAAACCCUAGUAGUCC
This 274-nucleotide ribosomal RNA is filed under the name uncultured bacterium. RNAcentral's name for it is "partial 16S ribosomal RNA". It matches the Rfam family "Bacterial small subunit ribosomal RNA", at positions 523 to 796 of the family's 1533-position model. The record is from RNAcentral.